RNAcentral lists this ribosomal RNA (2151 nucleotides) under Salmonella enterica subsp. enterica serovar Minnesota. RNAcentral describes it as "bacterial LSU rRNA". It matches the Rfam family "Bacterial large subunit ribosomal RNA", at positions 811 to 2925 of the family's 2925-position model. The record is from RNAcentral. Lineage: Bacteria; Pseudomonadati; Pseudomonadota; Gammaproteobacteria; Enterobacterales; Enterobacteriaceae.
GUGGCUGGGGGUGAAAGGCCAAUCAAACCGGGAGAUAGCUGGUUCUCCCCGAAAGCUAUUUAGGUAGCGCCUCGUGAAUUCAUCUCCGGGGGUAGAGCACUGUUUCGGCUAGGGGGCCAUCCCGGCUUACCAACCCGAUGCAAACUGCGAAUACCGGAGAAUGUUAUCACGGGAGACACACGGCGGGUGCUAACGUCCGUCGUGAAGAGGGAAACAACCCAGACCGCCAGCUAAGGUCCCAAAGUCAUGGUUAAGUGGGAAACGAUGUGGGAAGGCCCAGACAGCCAGGAUGUUGGCUUAGAAGCAGCCAUCAUUUAAAGAAAGCGUAAUAGCUCACUGGUCGAGUCGGCCUGCGCGGAAGAUGUAACGGGGCUAAACCAUGCACCGAAGCUGCGGCAGCGACACUCAGGUGUUGUUGGGUAGGGGAGCGUUCUGUAAGCCUGUGAAGGUGGCCUGUGAGGGUUGCUGGAGGUAUCAGAAGUGCGAAUGCUGACAUAAGUAACGAUAAAGCGGGUGAAAAGCCCGCUCGCCGGAAGACCAAGGGUUCCUGUCCAACGUUAAUCGGGGCAGGGUGAGUCGACCCCUAAGGCGAGGCCGAAAGGCGUAGUCGAUGGGAAACGGGUUAAUAUUCCCGUACUUGGUGUUACUGCGAAGGGGGGACGGAGAAGGCUAUGUUGGCCGGGCGACGGUUGUCCCGGUUUAAGCGUGUAGGUGUGUGUUCCAGGUAAAUCCGGUUCACUUUAACACUGAGGCGUGACGACGAGGCACUACGGUGCUGAAGCAACAAAUGCCCUGCUUCCAGGAAAAGCCUCUAAGCAUCAGGUAACAUCAAAUCGUACCCCAAACCGACACAGGUGGUCAGGUAGAGAAUACCAAGGCGCUUGAGAGAACUCGGGUGAAGGAACUAGGCAAAAUGGUGCCGUAACUUCGGGAGAAGGCACGCUGACACGUAGGUGAAGUGAUUUACUCACGGAGCUGAAGUCAGUCGAAGAUACCAGCUGGCUGCAACUGUUUAUUAAAAACACAGCACUGUGCAAACACGAAAGUGGACGUAUACGGUGUGACGCCUGCCCGGUGCCGGAAGGUUAAUUGAUGGGGUCAGCGCAAGCGAAGCUCCUGAUCGAAGCCCCGGUAAACGGCGGCCGUAACUAUAACGGUCCUAAGGUAGCGAAAUUCCUUGUCGGGUAAGUUCCGACCUGCACGAAUGGCGUAAUGAUGGCCAGGCUGUCUCCACCCGAGACUCAGUGAAAUUGAACUCGCUGUGAAGAUGCAGUGUACCCGCGGCAAGACGGAAAGACCCCGUGAACCUUUACUAUAGCUUGACACUGAACAUUGAGCCUUGAUGUGUAGGAUAGGUGGGAGGCUUUGAAGUGUGGACGCCAGUCUGCAUGGAGCCGGCCUUGAAAUACCACCCUUUAAUGUUUGAUGUUCUAACGUGGACCCGUGAUCCGGGUUGCGGACAGUGUCUGGUGGGUAGUUUGACUGGGGCGGUCUCCUCCUAAAGAGUAACGGAGGAGCACGAAGGUUGGCUAAUCCUGGUCGGACAUCAGGAGGUUAGUGCAAUGGCAUAAGCCAGCUUGACUGCGAGCGUGACGGCGCGAGCAGGUGCGAAAGCAGGUCAUAGUGAUCCGGUGGUUCUGAAUGGAAGGGCCAUCGCUCAACGGAUAAAAGGUACUCCGGGGAUAACAGGCUGAUACCGCCCAAGAGUUCAUAUCGACGGCGGUGUUUGGCACCUCGAUGUCGGCUCAUCACAUCCUGGGGCUGAAGUAGGUCCCAAGGGUAUGGCUGUUCGCCAUUUAAAGUGGUACGCGAGCUGGGUUUAGAACGUCGUGAGACAGUUCGGUCCCUAUCUGCCGUGGGCGCUGGAGAACUGAGGGGGGCUGCUCCUAGUACGAGAGGACCGGAGUGGACGCAUCACUGGUGUUCGGGUUGUCAUGCCAAUGGCACUGCCCGGUAGCUAAAUGCGGAAGAGAUAAGUGCUGAAAGCAUCUAAGCACGAAACUUGCCCCGAGAUGAGUUCUCCCUGAGACUUUAGGUCUCCUGAAGGAACGUUGAAGACGACGACGUUGAUAGGCCGGGUGUGUAAGCGCAGCGAUGCGUUGAGCUAACCGGUACUAAUGAACCGUGAGGCUUAACCUUACAACGCCGAAG